AGAGCGAACGCUGGCGGCAGGCUUAGGACAUGCUACGUCGAGCGGGCCUUCGGACGAUGGCGGACGGGUGAGUAACGCGUGGGAACGUGCCUUCUGGUUCGGAAUAACCCUGGGAAACUAGGGCUAAUACCGGAUACGCCCUUUUGGGGAAACGUUUACUGCCGGAAACGCGGCCCGCGUCUGAUUAGCUAGUUGGUGGGGUAACAGCCUACCAAAGCGACGAUCAAUAGAGCUCGUCUGAGAGAUGAUUAGCCACACUUUGGACUGAGACACGGCCCAGACUCCUACGGGAGGCAGCAGUGGGGAAUAUUGGACAAUGGGCGCAAGCCUGAUCCAACCAUGCCACGUGAGUGAAGGGACCUUGAAGGCCUUGGUUGUAAAGCUCUUUUAUCCGGGACGAUAAUGACGGUACCGAAGGAAUAAGCCCCGGCUAACUUCGUGCCAAUGGCCGCGGUAAUACUUCGGGGGCUAGAGUUGCUCGGAAUCACUGGGCGUAAAGGGCGCGUAGGCGGCGUUUUAAGUCGGGGGUGAAAGCCUGUGGCUCAACCACCCGAAUGGCCUUGGAUACUGGGACGCUUGAGUAUGGUAGAGGAGGUUGGUGGAACUGCUAGAGUGUUUCGAGUAUAUUCGCAAGAACACCGGUGGCGAAGGCGGCCAACUGGACCAUUACUGACGCUGAGGCGGGAAAGCGUGGGGAGCAGACAGGAUUAGAUACCCUGGUAGUCCACUCCGUAAACGAUGAAUGCCAACUGUUGGGGUGCUUGCACCGCAAAGUAGCGCAGCUAACGCUUUGAGCAUUCCCCCUGGGGAGUACGGUCGCAAGAUUAAAACUCAAAGGAAUUGACGGGGGCACGCACAAGCACAGGAGCAUGUGGUUUAUGAAAUUCCAAGCAACGCGCAGAACCUUACCAUCCUUUGACAUGGCGUGUUACCCAGAGAGAUCUGGGGGUCUUCGGGGCGCGCACACAGGUGCUGCACUGGCUGUCGUAAGCUCGUGAUCGAGAUGUUGGGUCAAGUCCCGCAACGAGCGCAACCCACGUGCUUAGUUGCCAAGAUUCAGUUGGGCACUCUAGGGAGACUGCCCGGUGAUAAGCCGCGAGGAAGGUGUGGAUGGCGUCAAGUCCUCAUGUCCCUUACGGGAUGGGCUACACACGUGCUACAAUGACGGUGACAGUGGGAUAGCGUAUGGAGCGAUCUGGAGCUAAUCCCCAAAAGCCGUCUCAGUUCGGAUUGCACUCUGCAACUCGAGUGCAUGAAGGCGGAAUCGCUAGUAAUCGUGGAUCAGCAUGCCACGGAGAAUACGUUCCCGGGCCUUGUACACACCGCCCGUCACACCAUGGGAGUUGGUCUUACCCGACGGCGCUGCGCCAACCGCAAGGAGGCAGGCGACCACGGUAGGGUCAGCGACUGGGGUGA
This 1416-nucleotide ribosomal RNA is filed under the name bacterium MSF 40. RNAcentral's name for it is "16S ribosomal RNA". It matches the Rfam family "Bacterial small subunit ribosomal RNA". The record is from RNAcentral.